Molecule: ribosomal RNA, 253 nt
Filed under: uncultured bacterium
Lineage: Bacteria
Description: partial 16S ribosomal RNA
Rfam family: Bacterial small subunit ribosomal RNA
Source: RNAcentral
UACAGAGGGCUCAAGCGUUGUUCGGAGUCAUUGGGCGUAAAGGGCGUGUAGGUGGCGCCGUAAGUCGGGUGUGAAAUUUAGGAGCUUAACUCCGAAACUGCAUUCGAUACUGCGGUGCUUGAGGACUGGAGAGGAGGCUGGAAUUCAUGGUGUAGCAGUGAAAUGCGUAGAGAUCAUGAGGAAGACCAGUGGCGAAGGCGGGUCUCUGGACAGUUCCUGACACUGAGACACGAAGGCCAGGGGAGCAAACGGG